This 1280-nucleotide ribosomal RNA is filed under the name Enterococcus faecium. RNAcentral describes it as "bacterial SSU rRNA". It matches the Rfam family "Bacterial small subunit ribosomal RNA", at positions 127 to 1394 of the family's 1533-position model. Lineage: Bacteria; Bacillati; Bacillota; Bacilli; Lactobacillales; Enterococcaceae. The record is from RNAcentral.
UGCCCAUCAGAAGGGGAUAACACUUGGAAACAGGUGCUAAUACCGUAUAACAAUCGAAACCGCAUGGUUUUGAUUUGAAAGGCGCUUUCGGGUGUCGCUGAUGGAUGGACCCGCGGUGCAUUAGCUAGUUGGUGAGGUAACGGCUCACCAAGGCCACGAUGCAUAGCCGACCUGAGAGGGUGAUCGGCCACAUUGGGACUGAGACACGGCCCAAACUCCUACGGGAGGCAGCAGUAGGGAAUCUUCGGCAAUGGACGAAAGUCUGACCGAGCAACGCCGCGUGAGUGAAGAAGGUUUUCGGAUCGUAAAACUCUGUUGUUAGAGAAGAACAAGGAUGAGAGUAACUGUUCAUCCCUUGACGGUAUCUAACCAGAAAGCCACGGCUAACUACGUGCCAGCAGCCGCGGUAAUACGUAGGUGGCAAGCGUUGUCCGGAUUUAUUGGGCGUAAAGCGAGCGCAGGCGGUUUCUUAAGUCUGAUGUGAAAGCCCCCGGCUCAACCGGGGAGGGUCAUUGGAAACUGGGAGACUUGAGUGCAGAAGAGGAGAGUGGAAUUCCAUGUGUAGCGGUGAAAUGCGUAGAUAUAUGGAGGAACACCAGUGGCGAAGGCGGCUCUCUGGUCUGUAACUGACGCUGAGGCUCGAAAGCGUGGGGAGCAAACAGGAUUAGAUACCCUGGUAGUCCACGCCGUAAACGAUGAGUGCUAAGUGUUGGAGGGUUUCCGCCCUUCAGUGCUGCAGCUAACGCAUUAAGCACUCCGCCUGGGGAGUACGACCGCAAGGUUGAAACUCAAAGGAAUUGACGGGGGCCCGCACAAGCGGUGGAGCAUGUGGUUUAAUUCGAAGCAACGCGAAGAACCUUACCAGGUCUUGACAUCCUUUGACCACUCUAGAGAUAGAGCUUCCCCUUCGGGGGCAAAGUGACAGGUGGUGCAUGGUUGUCGUCAGCUCGUGUCGUGAGAUGUUGGGUUAAGUCCCGCAACGAGCGCAACCCUUAUUGUUAGUUGCCAUCAUUCAGUUGGGCACUCUAGCAAGACUGCCGGUGACAAACCGGAGGAAGGUGGGGAUGACGUCAAAUCAUCAUGCCCCUUAUGACCUGGGCUACACACGUGCUACAAUGGGAAGUACAACGAGUUGCGAAGUCGCGAGGCUAAGCUAAUCUCUUAAAGCUUCUCUCAGUUCGGAUUGCAGGCUGCAACUCGCCUGCAUGAAGCCGGAAUCGCUAGUAAUCGCGGAUCAGCACGCCGCGGUGAAUACGUUCCCGGGCCUUGUACACACCGCC